UUACGGCCAUAUCACGUUGAAACCCCGGUUCCCGUACGAUUACCGAACUUAAGCAAUAUAGAGCUUCGUCCGUACGUAUAUGAGCGACCGCCUAAGAAUACCAAGUGCUGUAAG
Acanthosepion pharaonis is the source of this 114-nucleotide non-coding RNA. The record is from the annotation of a GenBank genome assembly. Lineage: Eukaryota; Metazoa; Mollusca; Cephalopoda; Sepiida; Sepiidae.